UGCUGAUGCUCUAAGAGUCUGAUACAGGGCAAGCUUGCAUAUCUCUGCUGAUGCUCUAAGAGUCUGAUACAGGGCAAGCUUGCAUAUCUCUGCUGAUGCUCUAAGAGUCUGAUACAGGGCAAGCUUGCAUAUCUCUGCUGAUGCUCUCAGAGUCUGACACAGGGCAAGCUUGCAUAUCUCUGCUGAUGCUCUAAGAGUCUGACACAGGGCAAGCUUGCAUAUCUCUGCUGAUGCUCUAAGAGUCUGACACAGGGCAAGCUUGCAUAUCUCUGCUGAUGCUCUAAGA
Molecule: long non-coding RNA, 286 nt
Filed under: Sarcophilus harrisii (Tasmanian devil)
Lineage: Eukaryota; Metazoa; Chordata; Mammalia; Dasyuromorphia; Dasyuridae
Description: lncRNA (ENSSHAG00000000294.2)
Source: RNAcentral